Molecule: ribosomal RNA, 406 nt
Filed under: uncultured bacterium
Lineage: Bacteria
Description: partial 16S ribosomal RNA
Rfam family: Bacterial small subunit ribosomal RNA
Source: RNAcentral
AUUGAACGCUGGCGGCAGGCCUAACACAUGCAAGUCGAGCGAGCGGCGGACGGGUGAGUAAUGUCUGGGAAACUGCCUGAUGGAGGGGGAUAACUACUGGAAACGGUAGCUAAUACCGCAUACCAUCAGAUGUGCCCAGAUGGGAUUAGCUAGUAGGUGGGGUAACGGCUCACCUAGGCGACGAUCCCUAGCUGGUCUGAGAGGAUGACCCGCCACACGGGAACUGAGAAACGGUCCAGACUCUGCCGGGAGGCAGCAGUGGGGAAUAUUGCACAAUGGGCGAAAGCCUGAUGCAGCCAUGCGGCGGGGGUGAAGAAGGCCUUCGGGUUGAAAAGCACGUUCAGCGGGGAGGCGUUACCCGCAGAAGAAGCACCGGCUAACUACGUGCCAGCCGCCGCGGUAAUUC